Molecule: ribosomal RNA, 503 nt
Filed under: uncultured bacterium
Lineage: Bacteria
Description: partial 16S ribosomal RNA
Rfam family: Bacterial small subunit ribosomal RNA
Source: RNAcentral
AUUGAACGCUGGCGGCAGGCUUAACACAUGCAAGUCGAGCGGGGUGAUGGUGCUUGCACUAUCACUUAGCGGCGGACGGGUGAGUAAUGCUUAGGAAUCGGCCUAUUAGUGGGGGACAACAUCUCGAAAGGGAUGCUAAUACCGCAUACGUCCUACGGGAGAAAGCAGGGGAUCACUUGUGACCUUGCGCUAAUAGAUGAGCCUAAGUCGGAUUAGCUAGGUGGUGGGGUAAAGGCCUACCAAGGCGACGAUCUGUAGCGGGUCUGAGAGGAUGAUCCGCCACACUGGGACUGAGACCAGGCCCAGACUCCUACGGGAGGUAGCAGUGGGGAAUAUUGGACAAUGGGGGGAACCCUGAUCCAGCCAUGCCGCGUGUGUGAAGAAGGCCUUAUGGUUGUAAAGCACUUUAAGCGAGGAGGAGGCUCUUUUGGUUAAUACCCAAGAUGAGUGGACGUUACUCGCAGAAUAAGCACCGGCUAACUCUGUGCCAGCAGCCGCAGUAA